AUUCCCCUAGUAACGGCGAGUGAAGCGGGAAGAGCUCAAAUUUGAAAGCUGGCACCUUCGGUGUCCGCGUUGUAAUCUCGAGAAGUGUUUUCCGUGCUGGACCAUGUACAAGUUCCUUGGAAUAGGACGUCAUAGAGGGUGAAAAUCCCGUACUUGACAUGGACGCCCAGUGCUUUGUGAUACACUCUCCACGAGUCGAGUUGUUUGGGAAUGCAGCUCAAAAUGGGUGGUAAAUUCCAUCUAAAGCUAAAUAUUGGGGAGAGACCGAUAGCGAACAAGUACCGUGAGGGAAAGAUGAAAAGCACUUUGGAAAGAGAGUUAAACAGUACGUGAAAUUGUCGAAAGGGAAGCGCUUGAAGUUAGACAUGCUUGUCGGGAUUCAGCCUUGCUUUUGCUUGGUGUAUUUCCCGGUGUGCAGGCCAGCAUCAGUUUUGUUUGCCGGAUAAGGGUGAGAGGAAUGUGGCCCCUUGGGGUGUUAUAGCCUCUCACUGGAUACGGCGGAUGGGACUGAGGACCGCAGUGUGCCUUUAUGGCGGGCCUUCGGGCACCUUCACACUUAGGAUGCUGGCGUAAUGGCUUUAAGCGACCCGUC
Molecule: ribosomal RNA, 592 nt
Filed under: Quambalaria pitereka
Lineage: Eukaryota; Fungi; Basidiomycota; Exobasidiomycetes; Microstromatales; Quambalariaceae
Description: LSU rRNA
Rfam family: Eukaryotic large subunit ribosomal RNA
Source: RNAcentral